RNAcentral lists this ribosomal RNA (483 nucleotides) under uncultured bacterium. RNAcentral's name for it is "partial 16S ribosomal RNA". It matches the Rfam family "Bacterial small subunit ribosomal RNA", at positions 28 to 507 of the family's 1533-position model. The record is from RNAcentral.
GACGAACGCUGGCGGCGUGCUUAACACAUGCAAGUCGAACGAUGAAGCGGGUGCUUGCACUCGUGGAUUAGUGGCGAACGGGCGAGUAACACGUGAGUAACCUGUCCUUUUCUUUGGGAUAACGGCUGGAAACGGCUGCUAAUACUGGAUAUUCAGGCUGCAUCGCAUGGUGUGGUUUGGAAAGGUUUUUUCUGGGAUUGGGUGGGCUCGCGGCCUAUCAGCUUGUUGGUGGGGUGAUGGCUUACCGAGGCUUUGACGGGUAGCCGGCCUGAGAGGGUGGUCGGUCGCACUGGGACGGAGAUACGGCCCAGACUCCUACGGGAGGCAGCAGUGGGGAAUAUUGCACAAUGGACGAAAGUUUGAUGCAGCGACGCCGCGUGGAGGGUGUAGGCCUUCGGGUUGUGAACUCCUUUUUCUCGCGAAAAAGGCACAGUUUUGGCUGUGUUGAUGGUAGUGGGGGAAGAAGCGCCGGCUAACUACGUG